CCUGCAUUUAUUUUAUUUUCCCUGGAUUUUUUUGACUUUCUUCCUCAUCUCCAAAUGGCUCCAGUUAAACUUGAAAACUUGGAGCAUCCCCACCACCCACAUGCCUCCACAUGUCAUUUCUGAAAGACUCUCACCAAGCCCGCCUGCCUGUUAGUCAACGCCUGACUCAAGUGUCCUGGGCGGAGCUUUUGAAACCCCAUGAAGACCCCUGUUCAGUCCCAUUGGCAAGUUAUAUUUACUUGGUGGCAUGUUGCACGAAUCCAACGGAUGUGCGCAUAGCUGAGAUGGUGGCGUAAGAUGUAUGGGUUUGUUUAUUUUUAAAACGCUCUCUCUCGACAUAUAUACAUAUGCAAGGUAGCAUGACAUGUGAAGGAUGAACCGCAAUAGAGUGGGGCAACACGCUUAAUGUCUGUUUGUGAUGUAUUGACGCUUGUAAUGCAACUACGUUAUGAUCAGAAUGUCUUCUUGGUUUCAGUGAAGAAAUAGUCUGGCAAUGGCACAAAGACAAUUUCAAGAAAGCGGGAAGGAUGGGCGCUCAGUUUUGGGAAUGCUCACAGUGCAAGUGGAGAGGGACCCAAAGACAGGAGCCACAGUUGUUAAGUCUGUAGCACCC
Hippocampus comes (tiger tail seahorse) is the source of this 613-nucleotide long non-coding RNA. RefSeq lists it as uncharacterized. Lineage: Eukaryota; Metazoa; Chordata; Actinopteri; Syngnathiformes; Syngnathidae. The transcript has 3 exons. The record is from RefSeq and is a predicted model, not a curated record.